GCGUCCUUAGCUCAGCGGUAGAGCAAUUCCUUUACACGGAAAAGGCCGGGGGUUCGACUCCCUCAGGACGCA
RNAcentral lists this transfer RNA (72 nucleotides) under bacterium. Its description in RNAcentral is "tRNA-Val". It matches the Rfam family "tRNA". Rfam says of the family: Transfer RNA (tRNA) molecules are approximately 80 nucleotides in length. Their secondary structure includes four short double-helical elements and three loops (D, anti-codon, and T loops). The record is from RNAcentral.